This 348-nucleotide ribosomal RNA is filed under the name Escherichia coli. RNAcentral's name for it is "bacterial SSU rRNA". It matches the Rfam family "Bacterial small subunit ribosomal RNA", at positions 1 to 347 of the family's 1533-position model. Lineage: Bacteria; Pseudomonadati; Pseudomonadota; Gammaproteobacteria; Enterobacterales; Enterobacteriaceae. The record is from RNAcentral.
AUUGAAGAGUUUGAUCAUGGCUCAGAUUGAACGCUGGCGGCAGGCCUAACACAUGCAAGUCGAACGGUAACAGGAAGCAGCUUGCUGCUUCGCUGACGAGUGGCGGACGGGUGAGUAAUGUCUGGGAAGCUGCCUGAUGGAGGGGGAUAACUACUGGAAACGGUAGCUAAUACCGCAUAAUGUCGCAAGACCAAAGAGGGGGACCUUCGGGCCUCUUGCCAUCGGAUGUGCCCAGAUGGGAUUAGCUUGUUGGUGGGGUAACGGCUCACCAAGGCGACGAUCCCUAGCUGGUCUGAGAGGAUGACCAGCCACACUGGAACUGAGACACGGUCCAGACUCCUACGGGAG